CAAAAAUUCAGAACCAAGAAACAAAAUAAGUAGUUCAAAACAUCAACUAGUUAAUCACGAAAGGAAAUUUUCCAAGGAUGUGGACAUAAUUUUAGUUGGGAUAAAGACGGUGAUAAGGAAAUAUUGGCAGCACCAUAAUAUCAUUCACGUCCAGAUUUUUACUUCCAAUAUAUAUGCACACGUUCAGCAACCAACAUUUGGGGGAAUUGGAUAUUCACUUAAGCUUGGUAUUAGCAAUAUCUAUUUUCCCAUACUAUCAAUUCAUGGCAGCAAUGUGAAUAUAUAUUCAAGGAAUCAAUAUGUUAAUGUUGGGGAGAAGAUAUAUUUUUCCUUGAAGAAAGAAGAAGAUGAAGUUCUAUGAUGGAAGCAAAACACGAAGAACGACAUAAAGUCCAUGCCCCGGUUUCCUCCGGGUAGAAAAUCAGAGAUUUGUAUGUAGUGAAGUAAUCUUGUGGGUGGUCUAAUUUGAAUGUUAUAAGGCUAAAGGGGUGACGAAGCGAACGUGGUUACGGUUAACCUAUAACAGGUACAGAUACUCGCUUUGGUGAGACGUCAGCUUAGGACUUCCUUUCUGCUAUCUUGGAGAGCUUCGUUGUUCCGGAGCCCAGAUUUUGGUAUAGAUCUUUUUUUUGAUAUAUAUCUAUGUAUAUGUUGUCUAAGGGUACGACGGGGCCCUGUCCCGUCAUAUUUCACUGUUGAAACUCUUAGAGGUCUGUAGACAUGUAUGUGGGUCGUGUUCAGAUGUGGUCAGUUGUGCCAAUAUGGUCAUUAUGGAUGUUCUAGUGCUGUAGCAGCCUUGCCGGCUUACAUAUAUUAUCCUUUGGUUGUGGCAGCCUUGCCGGCUUGCAUAUAUUAUUGUUCUGU
Lycium barbarum (goji berry) is the source of this 864-nucleotide long non-coding RNA. RefSeq lists it as uncharacterized. Lineage: Eukaryota; Viridiplantae; Streptophyta; Magnoliopsida; Solanales; Solanaceae. The transcript is spliced from 3 exons. The record is from RefSeq and is a predicted model, not a curated record.